AACAUUGAAACAACUAUCCUUACCUUUUCCAAAGGUCAGAGGCUGCAUUUAUGGUGCUAAAGUACAUGCCCACACUGAGUCAGUGUCAGCAUGUACACUGGUUGAAUAUGUGAGCUCCCUGUUAGGCUGGCCUACGGACGGGUUGAAACAGGAAUCUGGAGACUCAGAUGAGGUGCAGACAAACCAAAUGUUUAUUUCACAACGUACAAAUUCAAUACAAAAAAGAACUUAGAAGAGGUAACAAAGGACGUGGCCUGAGGCUUCUCCUGUUUUUAUUUUGCUGAAACUGAAAGUACAUAUCUUCAACCCUCUUCAACAACGGCCUCUGGUUACAUUAACUAUCAGUCACAGAAGCGGAAGGACCAGCGAAUAGGAGUACAACAUCACAAAAUGGCAAUAUACCAGAUCACUAUUUGUGGAUUAGGCAAAAUUAAGUUAAUCGACCUGGGGUCCAGGGGCCAGUUUGAGAGCGUCACGGUGGGACAGCUGAAGGAGAAGAUACAAGAGACGUUUCUUGAUAAGGCCACAGAUGGUUUAAGGCUUAAAUUUAGGAACCGAACGCUAAAUACGGCGAUGACAUCCCACUGUGUGAAUAUGGAAUAGGACACAUGUCUGACAUAAAUGUAACUUUUAGAUUUUCAGGGCAGAUGACUGGCAGCUAGGGCUGCCAAACAAAACCUGUAAAAUUAAAGUAAAAAAAGUAUUUUAAAUAAUGUGCAAAAACAUUUAAUUUACAGAAAAUUGCAUUCAUUUUUUAAAUUUUUUUUACA
Long non-coding RNA from Mugil cephalus (flathead mullet), 770 nucleotides. RefSeq lists it as uncharacterized. The transcript is spliced from 3 exons. The record is from RefSeq and is a predicted model, not a curated record. NCBI's taxonomy places the organism in Eukaryota, Metazoa, Chordata, Actinopteri, Mugiliformes, Mugilidae.